CGAAAACAUUUUAUGAGCAGAACUGAGGUUAACAGCGAUCAAAUCAAACGGAUCUCACUAGAAAAUGCGUAUGAAAUGAUGACUGCAAUUUUGAAAUCAGUUUUCUUCGUAAUUUUUGUCAUUUUCGCGUCUUCCAUACACUGCAUUGAUGAUAAAUGUGCCACUUGCAAUGCUAUUGCUGUGAGUAUUUUUAAUCUAUAUAUUUGAUCUUUGCAGUCAGUAAUUAUGAUUUUAGUGUACUUGAUUUCGAUCCUAAUGUUAUAAUUUUUAAGGAUUUUCUUAAUAAUUUGCAUUUUUUUUUAUGUUCAUUGUUUGCAGGAGGAGCAUGAAUGUAAGAGUGUUUUCUCUCUCUCUCUCUCUCUUUCUCUUUUGUCGUUUUUUCUUGUUUGGUUUGAUUAUUUUAUCACAGUAAAAACUAUGCUCCUUUACCUGCUUAUUAUAGUUGAAUACUUCGAAUUUCAAAAUGUGUGAUCAUUUUCAGUUAGAUAUAAAGUUAACCUGGAAGUAGAAGCUGAGGAAGAAAAUAAACUGCAUUUUGUCCCGGAAUAUGUUUGGAUAACUUUUUUUUUUCAUGCUUUUAAGUUAAAAAAAAAAAAAAAUGUUAUUUAGUUUAAAACUUAUUUACUUUUAAGCUCCUGUUUGGUGCUGAUUUUUCAAGUCAAAUUUUUUUACUGUUAUUUAACGAGGCCAGUCAUCUUUUCUGACAUCUUCACUCACAGAUGGGACACACCUUUCAAGUUAACAGUCAAAAAAUUGAUUUUCGAAAUCAGCACCAAAUAGGCUUUAAGUAAGUUUGCUUCUAAGUGAACUUUUUAACCUCGGACGAACAUUUAGACUAGGCAUUCGGAUGGACACUAAUUUAUGACAAUUGGGGUCUGAAUUUAAAGGCUAGGAAAUCUUUUUUUUCUGAUCGAUAAAUAUAAGAUUCUAUUGAUCAAAAUCAUUUACAAGUACACCGAGCAUACUCUGGACAAUUAGACAACAAGUAAAAUACAACUACUUUGAACUUACCCGAGCAAUCCAAAGAAAAGAUAUACAAACAAUAAGAACUACAGUUCCAAAACCAACAACUCAUAAUUAAUUAAAACAUGUGGGUACAAAGCAAACAUAACCUUGUACACGUGUGUUUUAAUAAGUCUUACAAUGCUAUACACUUGUGGGCAAAGAUUCUCAAAAACCUUUCUAUUCCGUGCCAACCAAAUAUGGUAAGUGGUGCUUGCAAGUGCAAUUCUUUUAGCUUUACUUUGCCAAGAUGUUCAUUGGGUGGGUUUUGUUUGCAAUAUCGGGAUAUAAUGAUGAAACAUGAAUAGGCAGAAAUGGGAACUUGGUCUACGUUAGGAUGAGGCAUCGGCUUCACUGGUUGAAUUAAGAUUUUUAGUUUCGAAAAUUAAAUUGCUGACUUCAGAUAUCUAGCAUAGGAGUAGAAUUGAAACUUUGUCAGAUGCGAGUAGGAAAUUUGUUGCUCUACAAGAUUUAUAUGUGUAUAUAUGUCAUCAUAUUAAAUGGACAAUCACUUGCAUGGGGUUUCAGUUAGACUCUAUCUUCACGUGAUUGCUUCGUCCAUUUUGUUGGUAAGUACUUACUUAAAUCACACAGGAAAAACCAAGAAAUCAUUUAGACAUGAGACACUGCUUGGACUCUAAAGGUCAGCGUGAAGGAAGUUAAUAGAUUUUUUUUUUUUUUAUGACCAUGAGUAUCCGGGCCAACUUACGUGCAACUCGACUAAUUUCAUGAUGCCCUGAAGUUUACAAUUCGAUACUCGCCUCAAUAGUCCUGAGAGGACUCGAAUUGGUGACCACUGGGGGACAAAUACAAGACCUGACCAUUGAGCUAUCCCUUAGAGUUGAAGGAAAGUUAAUAGAUUACUGUUAUAAUGCCAAAGGUUUCUUUUCUAUGUACUAGAUAAUCUUUGUUUAAUCUAAUUUAUGAAUCUCACAUGAGCUUAAAGUGUAAUGCUUUUUGAUGUGAGCCUCAGAGGCGAUUUAUCUAGAGUAGUUCUUGCUUUUGUAAGAGGCCAUUUAUCUUAUCAUAUUCAUUUUUGAACCGUGGACCGUGUACAAACUUUUAACACUGAGAAAUCUAAGUUAGUUUUAGAUCGGGGGUUUGUUUUGGGGUGGGUGGGUGUUAGUGAGUGGUGGAAUAUUUAAUGUUUUAUAUUCAGAAAAUUUGUAGCAUAUACACAUACCUUUUAUUUGCCUACCAGCUAAUGUUACUCUAAAUCAAUUUCAUUCAUCUGGUGUUGCUAAACUUCUUGACAUUGGAAAUACAGAAUGCGUUGAAGGGUGAAAUUAUCUUGCUGAGCUCUUUUAUCCUUGUGUAUAAACUUGAUACAUGCUUUCUUUAUGGGAGGCUAACAACUUCAUAUUGCUGCAAUUGUCGAUCUCCUGGAUGGACUCUGUGAAAAGAUGCAGGACUAUACUCUUGAGAAGGUAGCUGGUCUUGCAUUUCCCGUUCUAAGUUAAUGGUUUAAUUAAUGUGAGAGUAUGUUUUGCAAAGAAAGUAACAUUUUUAAGAUCAAAAUUGUUUUCUGUAAUUAUCUUGAUAAGUCACCUAAGGUUUUGAUGCUGAAUGUAAAAGGCCUGUACGAAGUGGUUCGUCCAGCAGCACACUACUUUGGAAACUCAUCACGUGUUCUUUUCCCUAUGCUGAUGUUGGUUCUCCAAAUUGGCAGGUAGAUUCAAGCUCAAAACUAUGGAUCAAAGUGAAUAAUUGGGACAACCUUACAACUAGUAUGUAUAUUAGCUCUAGUUCUACCAAUACUUACCAUUUAGUAAAUAUUUGAACUCUCUUAUAUUCGCGUGGUUUCUUAUUCAUCUGCUUGCUAUUGUAAUUGUUUUAAUUAACAUCAAUAAUUCAUCUUGUAUAACUUAGCUGAAUCUAAAUCACAUGCUUAAUAUUGUAUUUUGUAUAGAAGUCACUUUUCGUUGUAGUCAUCUAGCCCCUUAACCUGCGUUGAUAAUUUUUUAUGGAAACGUUAAAACAUUGAACUAAACUAGAUUUUUUAUGCUGAUUUUUCCAACCAAUAUGCUAGUUCAGAUAGUGGUAGUCAAGCCUCAGGAUUUCAC
This 3065-nucleotide long non-coding RNA is filed under the name Olea europaea subsp. europaea. Lineage: Eukaryota; Viridiplantae; Streptophyta; Magnoliopsida; Lamiales; Oleaceae. The record is from RNAcentral.